CCUACGGGAGGCAGCAGUAGGGAAUCUUCCACAAUGGACGAAAGUCUGAUGGAGCAACGCCGCGUGUGUGAUGAAGGGUCUCGGCUCGUAAAACACUGUUGUAAGAGAAGAAUGACAUUGAGUGUAACUGUUCAGUGUGUGACGGUAUCUUACCAGAAAGGAACGGCUAAAUACGUGCCAGCAGCCGCGGCAAUACGUACGUUCCAAGCCUUAACCGGAUUUAUUGGGCGUAAAGCGAGCGCAGACGGUUAUUUAAGUCCGAAGUGAAAGCCCACAGCUUAACUGUGGAAGUGCCAUGGAAACUGGCUAACUUGAGUGCAGUAGAGGUGAGUGGAACACCAUGUGUAGCGGUGAAAUGCGUAGAUAUGUGAUAGAACACCAGUGGCGAAGGCGGCUCUCUGGACUGUCACUGACGUUGAGGCUCGAAAGCGUGGGUAGCAAACAGGAUUAGAUACCCGAGUAGUC
Molecule: ribosomal RNA, 465 nt
Filed under: uncultured Weissella sp.
Lineage: Bacteria; Bacillati; Bacillota; Bacilli; Lactobacillales; Lactobacillaceae
Description: bacterial SSU rRNA
Rfam family: Bacterial small subunit ribosomal RNA
Source: RNAcentral